This 595-nucleotide ribosomal RNA is filed under the name uncultured bacterium. Its description in RNAcentral is "bacterial SSU rRNA". It matches the Rfam family "Bacterial small subunit ribosomal RNA", at positions 33 to 676 of the family's 1533-position model. The record is from RNAcentral.
ACGCUGGCGGCGGCCUAACACAUGCAAGUCGAGCGCGCCCUUCGGGGUGAGCGGCGGACGGGUUAGUAACGCGUGGGAAUAUGCCCAAAGGUACGGAAUAGCCUCUGGAAACGGAGAGUAAUACCGUAUGUGCCCUUCGGGGGAAAGAUUUAUCGCCUUUGGAUUAGCCCGCGUUAGAUUAGGUAGUUGGUGGGGUAAUGGCCUACCAAGCCUACGAUCUAUAGCUGGUUUUAGAGGAUGAUCAGCAACACUGGGACUGAGACACGGCCCAGACUCCUACGGGAGGCAGCAGUGGGGAAUCUUGGACAAUGGGCGCAAGCCUGAUCCAGCCAUGCCGCGUGAGUGAUGAAGGCCUUAGGGUCGUAAAGCUCUUUCGCCAGGGAUGAUAAUGACAGUACCUGGUAAAGAAACCCCGGCUAACUCCGUGCCAGCAGCCGCGGUAAUACGGAGGGGGUUAGCGUUGUUCGGAAUUACUGGGCGUAAAGCGCGCGUAGGCGGAUCGGAAAGUUGGGGUGAAAUCCCGGGGCUCAACCCCGGAACUGCCUCCAAAACUAUCGGUCUAAAGUUCGAGAGAGGUGAGUGGAAUUCCGAGUGU